This 128-nucleotide ribosomal RNA is filed under the name Botryotinia convoluta. RNAcentral describes it as "partial ITS1 ribosomal RNA". The record is from RNAcentral. Lineage: Eukaryota; Fungi; Ascomycota; Leotiomycetes; Helotiales; Sclerotiniaceae.
ACCCUUGUAUAUUAUAUCUUUGUUGCUUUGGCAGGCCGCCUCCGGGCACCGGCUUACGCUGGAUCGUGCCUGCCAAAGCGCCCCAAAUUCUGAAUGUUAGUGUCGUCUGAGUACUAUAUAAUAGUUAA